CGUUCAUUCCUGAACAUAUUAUUAAAAUUGGAACAAUACAGUGAAGAUUAGCAUGACCCCUGCGCAAGGAUGACACGCAAUUUCCAAAUGGCGGCCGAAAACGGU
Nippostrongylus brasiliensis is the source of this 105-nucleotide non-coding RNA. The record is from Rfam. NCBI's taxonomy places the organism in Eukaryota, Metazoa, Nematoda, Chromadorea, Rhabditida, Heligmosomidae.